ACCGGAAUUUGGUUGUUAGCAUGUUUCUGUUAUAAAUAAUAUGUUCAAUUAUGAAACUUGAUAUAAUUAAAGUUAGGCAAGUUACAUGGAAGAAUAGUGGUUUUUAAACUCUAUCCAGAAGGAUUGUUAUAAAAGAAGUGGUCUUACUUACAAUUU
This is a long non-coding RNA of Hibiscus syriacus, 156 nucleotides long. RefSeq lists it as uncharacterized. Lineage: Eukaryota; Viridiplantae; Streptophyta; Magnoliopsida; Malvales; Malvaceae. The record is from RefSeq and is a predicted model, not a curated record. The transcript has 3 exons.